Molecule: ribosomal RNA, 414 nt
Filed under: uncultured microorganism
Description: bacterial SSU rRNA
Rfam family: Archaeal small subunit ribosomal RNA
Source: RNAcentral
CAGCCGCCGCGGUAAUACCGGCGGCCCGAGUGGCGGCCACGAUUAUUGGGCUUAAAGCGUCCGUAGCCGGGUUGGUUAGUCUCCCGGGAAAUCUGGCCGCUUAACGGUCAGAAUUCCGGGAGAUACUGCCAGCCUAGGGACCGGGAGAGGCCGAGGGUAUUCCCGGAGUAGGGGUGAAAUCCUAUAAUCCCGGGAGGACCACCUGUGGCGAAGGCGCUCGGCUGGAACGGGUCCGACGGUGAGGGACGAAGGCCAGGGGAGCAAACCGGAUUAGAUACCCGGGUAGUCCUGGCUGUAAACGAUGCGGACUUUGUGUCGGACAAGCUAUGAGCUUGUCCGGUGCCGGAGGGAAACCGUUAAGUCCGCCGCCUGGGGAGUACGGCCGCAAGGCUGAAACUUAAAGGAAUUGGCGGG